This 528-nucleotide long non-coding RNA is filed under the name Phoenix dactylifera (date palm). Its description in RNAcentral is "long non-coding RNA (PDAC_LNC022460)". The record is from RNAcentral. Lineage: Eukaryota; Viridiplantae; Streptophyta; Magnoliopsida; Arecales; Arecaceae.
UGUAACUAGAGCAUGUCAGAUACACAUAUCGUUCUUAGCCUACAGUACAUGCAUAACAUGUUAAAUUUUAUGUAUGAUCCAUAAAGAUUAGGGCAGGCUACUUACAUACAUGAUUCACAACAAGAUUAAAACAAGUUACUUACAGUAAUUUGCCUUUUUCCUAGGUCUCCCGCGUCCUGGUGACGAGUCCUAAGUCACCUACAAUCAUGUCAUAACAAUAAUAUGUUAUUUCCUUUUCUACCUGAAGUUUAGCCCAUCCCUCAUCCGGAUUCAUCCAAAUAGACUGGGUCUGGUUUUAUUGGGUUCACCUAACCCAUUCUAAUUAUAUAUAUAUACACACACAUAUAUACAUAUAUAUAUAUAUAUAUAUUUAUUUAAACUUAACGGGUUGCGGGUUCGGGUUCGGGUUCGGACCCGACCCGCGAACCCGUGCUCAUGUUUUUUCCUUCUCCCCCCUUCCAGAGGCUUCCGCCUCUUCACCUUCCGCGACCCCUCUCUCCUCCGACGCUCUUCCUCUCUCUUCUCUUC